UACAGAGGGUGCAAGCGUUAAUCGGAAUUACUGGGCGUAAAGCGCGCGUAGGUGGUUCGUUAAGUUGGACGUGAAAUCCCCGGGCUCAACCUGGGAACUGCAUUCAAAACUGUCGAGCUAGAGUAUGGUAGAGGGUGGUGGAAUUUCCUGUGUAGCGGUGAAAUGCGUAGAUAUAGGAAGGAACACCAGUGGCGAAGGCGACCACCUGGACUGAUACUGACACUGAGGUGCGAAAGCGUGGGGAGCAAACAGG
This 253-nucleotide ribosomal RNA is filed under the name uncultured bacterium. RNAcentral's name for it is "partial 16S ribosomal RNA". It matches the Rfam family "Bacterial small subunit ribosomal RNA", at positions 524 to 776 of the family's 1533-position model. The record is from RNAcentral.